This 468-nucleotide ribosomal RNA is filed under the name uncultured bacterium. RNAcentral's name for it is "partial 16S ribosomal RNA". It matches the Rfam family "Bacterial small subunit ribosomal RNA", at positions 28 to 507 of the family's 1533-position model. The record is from RNAcentral.
GACGAACGCUGGCGGCGUGCUUAACACAUGCAAGUCGAACGGAAAGGCCCUGCUUUUGUGGGGUGCUCGAGUGGCGAACGGGUGAGUAACACGUGAGUAACCUGCCCUUGACUUUGGGAUAACUUCAGGAAACUGGGGCUAAUACCGGAUAGGAGCUCCUGCUGCUCGGUGGGGGUUGGAAAGUUUCGGCGGUUGGGGAUGGACUCGCGGCUUAUCAGCUUGUUGGUGGGGUAGUGGCUUACCAAGGCUUUGACGGGUAGCCGGCCUGAGAGGGUGAGCGGCCACAUUGGGACUGAGAUACGGCCCAGACUCCUACGGGAGGCAGCAGUGGGGAAUAUUGCACAAUGGGCGGAAGCCUGAUGCAGCAACGCCGCGUGCGGGAUGACGGCCUUCGGGUUGUAAACCGCUUUCGCCUGUGACGAAGCGUGAGUGACGGUAAUGGGUAAAGAAGCACCGGCUAACUACGUG